GAUGAACGCUGGCGGCGUGCCUAAUACAUGCAAGUCGAGCGAACAGACCAGGAGCUUGCUCCUCUGACGGUAGCGGCGAGCGGGUGAGUAACACGUGGAUAACCUACCUAUAAGACUGGGAUAGGUUCUGGACACCGGAGAUAAGACCGGAUAAUAUAUUGGACUGCAUGGUGCAAUAGGGAAAGGCGGUUGUGCUGUUACUGAUAGGUGGAUCCGCGCCGCAUUAGCUAGUUGGUAAGGUAACGGCGUACCAAGGCAACGAUGCGUAGCAGACCUGCGGGGGUGAUCGGCCACACUGGCACUGAGACACGGUCCAGACUCCUACGGGAGGCAGCAGUAGGGAAUCUUCCGCAAUGGGCGAAAGCCUGACGGAGCAACGCCGCGUGAGUGAUGAAGGUUUUCGGAUCGUAAAUCUCUGUUAUUAGGGAAGAACAAAUGUGUAAGUAACUAGGCACGUCUUGACGGUACCUAAUCAGAAAGCCACGGCUAACUACGUG
This 497-nucleotide ribosomal RNA is filed under the name uncultured bacterium. Its description in RNAcentral is "partial 16S ribosomal RNA". It matches the Rfam family "Bacterial small subunit ribosomal RNA", at positions 28 to 507 of the family's 1533-position model. The record is from RNAcentral.